Molecule: ribosomal RNA, 469 nt
Filed under: uncultured bacterium
Lineage: Bacteria
Description: SSU rRNA
Rfam family: Bacterial small subunit ribosomal RNA
Source: RNAcentral
AGGACUAACGCUGGCGGCGUGCCUAACACAUGCAAGUCGAACGAGGGGUAGCAAUACCCCUAGUGGCAGACGGGUGAGUAACACGUAGUCAACCUACCUCUUAAUGGGGGAUAACUAGCCGAAAGGUUAGCUAAUACCGCAUACGAUCGUCGAGUGGCAUCACACGACGAUGAAAGGAGCAAUCCGUUGAGAGAGGGGACUGCGUCCCAUUAGUUAGUUGGUGGGGUAAUGGCCUACCAAGACUCCGAUGGGUAGCUGGCUUGAGAGAGCGACCAGCCACACUGGAACUGAGACACGGUCCAGACUCCUACGGGAGGCAGCAGUGAGGAAUUUUCCGCAAUGGGGGAAACCCUGACGGAGCGACGCCGCGUGUGGGAAGAAGGCCUUCGGGUCGUAAACCACUGUCGAGGGGACGAUAUUGACGGUACCCCUGGAGGAAGCCCCGGCUAACGUACGUGCCAGCAGCCGC